GCCCAAAAUGAGUCACCUUCUCCUCAGUAUCAUGCCACAGGUGUGCACAGUUCUCUUACAAGUAGAGAGGCAAGAUCCCUGCUGAAUGAGUUUUUCCUGUCAAAGAUGGUUUGACUAAAAUUUAUGAUUUUUUUUGUUGGAGACAGAUAAUUUGGGCACACUGAGGACUUCAGCUUGAAUAUAAAUGCCUGGUAGGAAGCUAGCUCUCCUUCAAAGACUCCUAGAGCGUCUCAUUUUCUUUUGACAUGGCUUAUGAACCAUGUUCUCAUUUACUCCCAUCACAUUGCUCCCCAUAAGCUUGAUUUUCUCUGGGGUUUUAUAAGUAAAGUGAAUUUGAGGAGGUAGACUGGAAGGAUGAUGAGGAAGGGAAGGUACUGAAAGAAAACGCACAGGAGCAGUGGGAGCAGGAGAGAGCAGGUCUGUGAGUGAAUGGAGGAAAGAGAGUAGAUGAGGGUAAGCGAGGGACAGGAAGAAAAUGGAAGAAGAAAAUAAGUGAAAAAGGGAGAAAAGGGAAAAAUAAACUGAAAGAGCAGAGGAGAAGAAAUCACAAGAAGAAUGAGUGGAACUGCUGAAGACAUAUGAGACUUGCAGACUUGGACAUGGAGCCUUUCCAAGGAGGUUUCCAGAGAAAAGAGCAGAGCGACCCCGAUCCCUGUGCUGUGAACACCAAGCCUUUGCUAUCAUCCCAUCAGUCAGAAGCUAGGUAAUCAUGAUUUAAAGCCAAUUAAAAGGUUAUAAUCCUAAAAGGGAUCCACUUUGGCUUUUCUGUCUUCCUUCUGACCAGGUCUGGGGCAUCCACAACACGGGUCCGUGAAGGGAAGGUGCGCUCCCCCAAGAUGUCCUCCCCAUUACCUACAGGCUUCCACCUCCACGUAUUUACUACCUACGUGCUCCUCUACCACAGGAAGAGGCAGUCCCUUAGGAAGCACAAAUCUAAAUAAAGAAGCUUCUCCGAACCGAAGGAGGUCAGGAAAGCACAUCCCAGGCCGCGCUCCUUCCUGGCAGCACCGGUGACGAGCCGCAGCAUUGUCUUUUUCUCGUUUGGCUUAAAAACUCGAGUGACUUAAUCCCCGGUCAGUAAAAAAAAAAAAACCUUGAUGGAGAUAGGUCCGUGCUGUUACCAAGCCAGACAUCUGUCGGUGCAAUAGAAGGGCAGGGAGGGACCGGUGACCUCCUUUGGGCCUGCUUCCCCCGUACGGCAAGGCCAGGCUUUAAUCGGGGAUGGCACGAAGCCCAGCAUGGGGUGGGGAGAGCAGAAGGGGGGAAAUCUUCGUGGUUCCUCGGCUGCAGCCCUCCCCCAGAAACCCUGCAGCACACAGGAGGAAGCUGACAGAUAACGAGGACAUUAAUUAGCCAAUUGGUAAAGGGAGGGUUCCUUUAAAGCGGGCCUUUAGAGACCAUGGCCUUACUGAAAAGCCUUAAAAAGAGGCACAGUUCCUAAACCAGGUUGGUUGGUACACUGUGAAACCCUUGGGAGCAGUAAUUUUUCACCUGUAUUUAACUAGCCAAACUCACCACCCCUCAGAAGUAUCUGGGAGUUGGCCAGAAAUACCUGUUUGCAGAGGAAAAUGAGGACUUGGCAGUGACAGAAGGGCAACUCUGAGAUGGGCUGGCCCCAUUUGCAUUUCCCAGCUGCGGACACGGCCCUCAGCAGCCACGUUCCUGUCCCUUUUCUUUGUGGGUCACACAGACGUGAUAAUUAGCAGAGUCCUAAAUCCCUCCCAGCCACAGGAUCCCCAAAUUACCCUAGCAGGAGUGGAGAGAAAGGUUAUAAACACAUGGCAUGGACAUCGCCCCCCCGGGGAACCACCUUCCACAUCUUUUGCCCCUUUGAGGUGUGACCAAAUGACCCUAAGCAGUGCCAGCCCUGCACAACACAAGGUCUCUGAAGGAAAAUCUCAAAACAACAGUGUCUGGAGAACUGUUCUGCCAACAGCAGGCUUGAUGCCUUUUCUCCCAGUGGUUGGAAAUCCAGGGAGCUGCUUUGUGGGCUUGGAGGCCUUCCCCCAGCUCGUUUUUGCUCUCAUGUUGGAGGAUUCAGGUCAGCGCGGUCACAAGCUCAUGAUAGAUCUUGACUGCCCUCGAUUCAGUGCACCGGCUUCUCACUCAAGGCAGCCUCUCGUAGGGAGCUCUCUGCUACAGAAAUGAAGCCUGCUCAGCUUCCUCAUAACCAAAUAAAGGCUUCUGUGAGGCAUCCCCACAGCUAUUAGAAAUCCAGGCUACUGCAAACAAAAAGAAGCAAAACUUGGAGAGAAGCAGAAGCCAGCCAAAAAAAAAAAAAAAAAAAAAAAAAAGAUUGGAUAAGUGCCUGGAAAAGGGUAAGGACUCUCCAAAUGAACUGGUGAGGCAAAGCUGAGUGGUAACGGGGUGCUCGGCCUUUCACAGCAGGGGAAUUCAGCGUACAGAGGGCCAGACCUCACCUCGGCAGGCUCCAGCCUCAGCGACUCCACAUACGCAAGUGAAACACUCAAGGGAGAUGAUCUGCAUUUCGCAUGCCCUGAAUCGGGUGUCCAAAUGACAAGAUAACUGGGACUAAGGAAAUGCAGGUGCAGAAGCUGGAGGCAUGCACUAGGGCCCAAGCACACGGCAGCAGCUGCAGCGAGAGGAGAGCAGGGAGUGCCUGGGAAGCGAGCCGGCUGUGCAGGGGAAGGCAGGCACUUGAACCCGUGACAAAUUUAGCCCCUGUUCAUUCAGGACUACAUUUUCCACUGGUAAUGCCAGUCCCUGAUUAGGCUUCACAUACAUCAUGUGUUUGUUGCUUUUUUUUUUUUUUUUCCUCAAGUCAGGGCUGUUUGUGUCACAGCCUGUGCUAUCUAAGCCUCUUCUACAGGAGAUGCAGGCUGAGAGAUGACACAAGAUGACGUUGGGACUGCUAGCAGCAGGCUGCCCAAGGCUCUGAGAAGGGGCUGGGAGCUCCUACGCAGCAGGAGCAGGAGCCUGACCUCAGGGCCCGGUGAUCUGUAAAAUGGCUGUUUAUGCUGGACAGCUUCGUGAUGUCGUAACACCAGAAAUCCCACCUCAAAAAUGCAGAGAGACAGAACUGAAGACCAGAUUUCUACCCAUAAUAACAAGAAUGGAAUGGAAAUGGACUCUAAAAAAAAAAAAAAGCAAAAAAAUAAAAAGA
Anas platyrhynchos (mallard) is the source of this 3124-nucleotide non-coding RNA. The record is from RefSeq and is a predicted model, not a curated record. Lineage: Eukaryota; Metazoa; Chordata; Aves; Anseriformes; Anatidae.